This 285-nucleotide long non-coding RNA is filed under the name Scleropages formosus (Asian bonytongue). RNAcentral describes it as "lncRNA (ENSSFOG00015026579.1)". The record is from RNAcentral. Lineage: Eukaryota; Metazoa; Chordata; Actinopteri; Osteoglossiformes; Osteoglossidae.
GCGCUCCGCGAUGCCCUUCAGGUAGAGCGCGCACACACGGCUGGCUGAACUGAAGGCAGAAGAAGAGGCGCGCGCCGAGGAGGACAUUUACAGGACCGUGGGAUGUUUUCAAUGCGCUUCUGUGUUAAUUCUCUGGCCGGCGCGAUUCCUUCCUUUUGCACAGAAGCUGCUCUCGCCGUGAAGAAGGACCCUACAUCUGAGUGCAGUGCCUGCAUAGACGAAAACAAUAGCACAGUGAGUUCACUUUAUCUCUUAUCUCUUAAUGCUCUCUGAAAUGUGGUUAUU